This is a long non-coding RNA of Polypterus senegalus (gray bichir), 259 nucleotides long. RefSeq lists it as uncharacterized. The record is from RefSeq and is a predicted model, not a curated record. Lineage: Eukaryota; Metazoa; Chordata; Cladistia; Polypteriformes; Polypteridae. The transcript is spliced from 3 exons.
AGUGUUAGCUGUUUUAGCUUUUUGGGCCAUUUUGCAUUGCCUCUUUGUUAACUUACAUUAGCGAAACAUUGGCCAUAGUUAAAAUGAAAUUUUUUUAAGGUGUCUAACCAAUUUUUCCCCUAUCCCUCAGGUGCUGUGAGGUAUUUGUGAAAUUGUGAACGUUCAGCCAGGUGCUGUGAGGUGUGUCUUCUUUGAAAUUGUGAACUUAUUCAUCUUUCCUUGGCUGCGAUGGCUCUGAGAAUGAGACGAUGGCGAAAAC